AAGUCGUAACAAGGUUUCCGUAGGUGAACCUGCGGAAGGAUCAUUAACACGUUUCCAACGUAUAUCCAAAUCAACUACAACCAACCGGUCACCAAUUCUCCUCAGUCACUAGCAGCUAUUCAGGAGGGGUCAAGUAAAAUGAACGUGGAGCGAAAGCACCUCGAACAUACCCCAAGUGAGUGCGUCGGAUGCGUCAAACCAUCUGUCAAAGCUGGAUAGCACUGGGCUAUUCCUUUCCAUCUUCUUGAUUUUACUUGUGAGUUGAUGGGGAGGUCACUACAACUACUUUCACCCUAUAAAUAAACCAUUUGACUAAUGUCUGUUCGACUUGGAGCAAUCUAAGUCUGAGCUGAUUUAUCUAAACUAAGCACAACUCUUAGCAAUGGAUAUCUUGGUUCUC
Molecule: unclassified non-coding RNA, 400 nt
Filed under: fungal sp.
Lineage: Eukaryota; Fungi
Description: partial internal transcribed spacer region
Rfam family: Eukaryotic small subunit ribosomal RNA (bases 1-46)
Source: RNAcentral